RNAcentral lists this ribosomal RNA (507 nucleotides) under Triticum aestivum (bread wheat). RNAcentral's name for it is "partial small subunit ribosomal RNA". The record is from RNAcentral. Lineage: Eukaryota; Viridiplantae; Streptophyta; Magnoliopsida; Poales; Poaceae.
AUGAUAUGGAUUCGGCUGGAACAUCCCAAGCGUCUCACUGCCGUAUUCAGAAAUCUGGCCGAAGUGUCCAUUUCUGGUAUCAUUCCUGAGUGUGAUCUGAGCAGGACCCUAUUUAUCCUCGAAGCUGCACCUGCCCUGCACAAAUUUACAUUAUCUCGAGAGCGGCAUGCAUGUGCCAUACCGUCCGAGGACAGUGCCGAGAAGACCAACGUGGAGUGGGAACCAUCCAAGGAUUUGAAGCACCUAAACUUGAAGUUGCUCCGGAUGUACGGUUUUGAGGAUGAAGACAAGGUGACAAACUACAUAAGGCUAGUCAUGGAGCGAGCUGUGAGGCUGAAGAGAAUCGAGUUGCGUGGUGAAGUCCCAUGCGAGAAAUGUGAUGCCAUUUACCCAAGGAGAUCCCAGGUGGAUAAAGGUCGCAGGCGUCGGAUCAAGGAGCGACUCACACAUGAAUCCUCCUCAGCUGUGGGGAUGAUAAUGCUCGUAGCAGCUAUGCCCGCGCAAUAG